UACACUCCUGCGGGAGGCAGCAGUGGGGAAUAUUGGACAAUGGGCGCAAGCCUGAUCCAGCCAUGCCGCGUGAGUGAUGAAGGCCCUAGGGUUGUAAAGCUCUUUCACCGGUGAAGAUAAUGACGGUAACCGGAGAAGAAGCCCCGGCUAACUUCGUGCCAGCAGCCGCGGUAAUACGAAGGGGGCUAGCGUUGUUCGGAUUUACUGGGCGUAAAGCGCACGUAGGCGGACUAUUAAGUCAGGGGUGAAAUCCCGGGGCUCAACCCCGGAACUGCCUUUGAUACUGGUAGUCUUGAGUUCGAGAGAGGUGAGUGGAAUUCCGAGUGUAGAGGUUAAAUUCGUAGAUAUUCGGAGGAACACCAGUGGCGAAGGCGGCUCACUGGCUCGAUACUGACGCUGAGGUGCGAAAGCGUGGGGAGCAAACAGGAUUAGAAACCCGGGUAGUCCC
Molecule: ribosomal RNA, 448 nt
Filed under: uncultured organism
Description: partial 16S ribosomal RNA
Rfam family: Bacterial small subunit ribosomal RNA
Source: RNAcentral